Molecule: RNA transcript, 2260 nt
Organism: Tachysurus vachellii
Lineage: Eukaryota; Metazoa; Chordata; Actinopteri; Siluriformes; Bagridae
Exons: 3
Source: RefSeq, a predicted model, not a curated record
AAGCAAAUAAGAACAGAUAAACACACACACACGGGUGAUCGAGAUUACCACAGAGAUCCGGGUUCGAGCCCUUCUUCAGACAGCAUCUCCUGUUACAGUUGUCAAAGAAACCAAAACAUUGUAUUUGAAAGAAAAGCAAAUCUCAGGAAAUAAACUUUAGAUGAAAACUAGUGGACUUCGCUCAGCACCUGUUCCUGUGGGGCUUCACUUUGUUUUUCCAAGGAGGACACCACCUCACUUUUUGCCCACAGAGGAUGUCACCAUCCUGCUCUGUUCUUUUUUUUAUUUUCCUCAGUGCCCUGCAAUAUCACCCUGCACCUGUUCCUGUGGGGGACGCUACUUCACUCUCUGUGCUUUUCCAUGGAGGAUGCCACCUCACGUAUUGUCCACGGGGAAUGUUGCAGGCCUGUACCUUUUGCCUUUUUCUGUUUUUUUUUUCUGUCUCUCUGCCCUUUCUGCUCGGCUGUGGACGUCGCUUGGCCCUUUCUGCAUGGCUGUGGAUGUUGCUCGGCCCUUUCUGCAUGGCUGUAGACAUCACUCGUCCUUUCUGCACGGCUGUGGACGUCGCUCGGGCCUUUCUGGUCGGCUGUGGACAUUGCUCGGCCCCCUCUGGCUACACUGUAGAAUGCCUUGCGCCCCCUCUGGCUACGCCGCAUUCCUCACUCCACCCACCUGCCUUGCCGCAUUUCUUGCUCCUCCCUGAUUUUAGCCGGGACCAUCGCCUCUUUGGACCUUCGAGGGUAGUUCUGUGUUGGUGCGUCGGGAGCCUCACAUUGAGGGGGGUACUGUCAGGAAUGGCUGGGACUAUUCCCUACUGGGAUAGUAGGGGUACAUUCUGGCAGUUUUUGAACCAUAAGAGUAAGACUCAUUUUUUGAGUAAAGUGUAUGUGUACUUUAAUAAUUUUUUUAAUAUUUUCCCUCUUUUCUGCUUUUGUUAAUUACCCUGAUGUAAUCUUUGCAUGUGUCAUUUCAUUUUCAUGCACAGCGACAUAAGUGACAAUGGGUUUUCUUUCAUAGCUUUUAUUUCUCAUUUUUGUUUGUGUGUGUUUUCAGCACCUGUAACUCUGGACUCCAACACUGUUCAUGUUGAACUCAUUGUAUCUGAUGAUCUGACCAGUGUGAGACUCACUGAUGAGGAACAAGGCUCUUCCACACUCCCAUGUAUCUAACUAGUCUUCUAGCACGUUACAAUCCUUUGCUCUCUCCUGAUAGUGUUUGGGGCUUAGACACACUUUCCCAGUUUAAAUGUAGAUUAAAAACUCAUCUCUUUAGUCAGGUGUACACAUAAUACAUCCCAUAAUACUGGGUGCACUCUUACAUCAGACUUGCACAUUUUUAUGAACAGCCGAUAUGUUAAUCCCUCUCCACAGCGUCUCUCUUUCUACCCAUCCCGAGGCAUCCCUAAAUUGUACCAGCUCCGAUCGUCUUCCGUGGGAUGAAGAUUUUGGACCUCCAAUGAGAUGAGGCCGACUCUGAGGACUCUGAGAAUCCUGAGGCAUCUAGAGAUCUUCUUCUUCUUCUUCUUCUUCUUCUUCACUAAAUGAUCAAAUUUUAACAGCAUUGUCAUGGUGGGAAUAAUGCUGCAUGGUUAUUUAUGCCUUAUUUAAUCUUUAAUCACUGGAUAAAUUUGUUACAAAAUUAUGGUUAAUUAUUUUAUACUCAGUAAUUAAACAUAAGAAUUAUAUUCUCCAUCAUUGUAAAAUCAGUUAUAUUUCAUUUAAUUUCCUCUUCACUGCAGGUUCAGGCCCAACACACAGAGCAUCAGAUUAAGGAGCAGUUUGAGAAACUUCACCAGUUUCUAUGAGAUGAAGAGGCAGUCAGGAUCUGCACUGAGAGAGGAAGAGGAGCAGAAGAGAUGAGCUCAAAACUGCAUUGAUGCCCCUACAGGAGAAACUGAAGAUCUUUACAGACUGUAAACUGAACUGGAGUCAGACUGCAGAACAUAUAAAGAUUCAGGCCAACACACCGAGCAACAGAUUAAGGAACAGUUUGAGAAAUUUCACCAGUUUCUACGAGAUGAAGAGGCAGUCAGGAUCGCUGCACUGAGAGAGGAAGAGGAGCAGAAGAGUCAGAUGAUGAAGGAGAAGAUUGAGAAUCUGAGCAGAGACAUAUCAUCUCUUUCAGACACAAUCAGAGCCAUAGAGAGUCAUUUAGUCAGUAUUUUUACUGUGAGAAAGUAAAAUUUCUUUCCAUCAUCAGAAACGUCACAUUUCAGUGGUGUAAAAAUGUAAAUCAUAUCCACUGAUAUGUGCUUUGUUGU